This 497-nucleotide ribosomal RNA is filed under the name uncultured bacterium. RNAcentral's name for it is "partial 16S ribosomal RNA". It matches the Rfam family "Bacterial small subunit ribosomal RNA", at positions 28 to 507 of the family's 1533-position model. The record is from RNAcentral.
GAUGAACGCUGGCGGCGUGCCUAAUACAUGCAAGUCGAGCGAACAGACGAGGAGCUUGCUCCUCUGACGUUAGCGGCGGACGGGUGAGUAACACGUGGAUAACCUACCUAUAAGACUGGGAUAACUUCGGGAAACCGGAGCUAAUACCGGAUAAUAUAUUGAACCGCAGGGUUCAAUAGUGAAAGACGGUUUUGCUGUCACUUAUAGAUGGAUCCGCGCCGCAUUAGCUAGUUGGUAAGGUAACGGCUUACCAAGGCAACGAUGCGUAGCCGACCUGAGAGGGUGAUCGGCCACCCUGGAACUGAGACACGGUCCAGACUCCUACGGGAGGCAGCAGUAGGGAAUCUUCCGCAAUGGGCGAAAGCCUGACGGAGCACCGCCGCGUGAGUGAUGAAGGUCUUCGGAUCGUAAAACUCUGUUAUUAGGGAAGAACAAAUGUGUAAGUAACUAUGCACGUCUUGACGGUACCUAAUAAGAAAGCCACGGCUAACUACGUG